CCCUUAGAUGUCCUGGGCUGCACGCGCGCUACACUGAUGUGUCCAGUAAGCACCUAACCUCUUCCGAAAGGAACGGGUAACCUUUGCAAAGCACAUCGUGAUAGGGAUAGAUUAUUGCAAUUAUUAGUCUUGAACGAGGAAUUCCUAGUAAGCACAAGUCAUCAGCUUGUGUUGAUUACGUCCCUGCCCUUUGUACACACCGCCCGUCGCUCCUACCGAUUGAAUGUUCCGGUGAGCUCUUCGGACUGCGCGGUCUGCAGUUUCUGCGUUCCGUGCGGAAAGUUGCGCAAACCUUAACAUUUAGAGGAAGGAGAAGUCGUAACA
RNAcentral lists this ribosomal RNA (324 nucleotides) under uncultured eukaryote. RNAcentral's name for it is "partial 18S ribosomal RNA". It matches the Rfam family "Eukaryotic small subunit ribosomal RNA", at positions 1470 to 1796 of the family's 1831-position model. The record is from RNAcentral.